CCUACGGGAGGCAGCAGUAGGGAAUAUUGCACAAUGGGGGAAACCCUGAUGCAGCGACGCCGCGUGAGUGAAGAAGGAUUUCGGUACGUAAAGCUCUAUCAGCAGAGAAGAAAAUGACGGUAUCUGACUAAUAAGCCCCGGCUAACUCCGUGCCAGCAGCCGCGGUAAUACGUAGGGGGCAAGCGUUAUCCGGAUUUACUGGGUGUAAAGGGAGCGUAGGCGGGCAGGAAAGUCAGAUGUGAAAGCCCAGGGCUCAACCCUGGGACUGCAUUUGAAACUGUGGGGCUGGAGUGCAGGAGAGGUAAGCGGAAUUCCUAGUGUAGCGGUGAAAUGCGUAGAUAUUAGGAGGAAUACUAGUGGCGAAGGCGGCCUACUGGAAUGUAACUGACGUUGAGGCUCGAAAGCGUGGGGAGCAAACAGGAUUAGAUACCCCAGUAGUC
RNAcentral lists this ribosomal RNA (440 nucleotides) under uncultured bacterium. RNAcentral's name for it is "partial 16S ribosomal RNA". It matches the Rfam family "Bacterial small subunit ribosomal RNA", at positions 338 to 795 of the family's 1533-position model. The record is from RNAcentral.